UAUCGGAGAGUUUGAUCCUGGCUCAGGACGAACGCUGGCGGCGUGCCUAAUACAUGCAAGUCGAGCGGACUGAUGGGAGCUUGCUCCCUGAAGUCAGCGGCGGACGGGUGAGUAACACGUGGGUAACCUGCCUGUAAGACUGGGAUAACUCCGGGAAACCGGGGCUAAUACCGGAUAGUUCUUUUCCUCGCAUGAGGAAAAGUGGAAAGGCGGCUUCGGCUGCCACUU
Molecule: ribosomal RNA, 228 nt
Filed under: Rossellomorea vietnamensis
Lineage: Bacteria; Bacillati; Bacillota; Bacilli; Caryophanales; Bacillaceae
Description: Bacillus vietnamensis partial 16S ribosomal RNA
Rfam family: Bacterial small subunit ribosomal RNA
Source: RNAcentral